ACCGUACACACAGGUGCUGCAUGGCUGUCGUCAGCUCGUGUCGUGAGAUGUUGGGUUAAGUCCCGCAACGAGCGCAACCCUCGACUUUAGUUACCAUCAUUAAGUUGGGUACUUUAAAGUAACCGCCGGUGAUAAGCCGGAGGAAGGUGGGGAUGACGUCAAGUCCUCAUGGCCCUUACGCGCUGGGCUACACACGUGCUACAAUGGCAAGUACAGUGGGCAGCAAUCCCGCGAGGGUGAGCUAAUCUCCAAAACUUGUCUCAGUUCGGAUUGUUCUCUGCAACUCGAGAGCAUGAAGGCGGAAUCGCUAGUAAUCGCGGAUCAGCAUGCCGCGGUGAAUACGUUCCCAGGCCUU
This 355-nucleotide ribosomal RNA is filed under the name uncultured Sphingomonas sp. Its description in RNAcentral is "bacterial SSU rRNA". It matches the Rfam family "Bacterial small subunit ribosomal RNA", at positions 1025 to 1382 of the family's 1533-position model. The record is from RNAcentral. Lineage: Bacteria; Pseudomonadati; Pseudomonadota; Alphaproteobacteria; Sphingomonadales; Sphingomonadaceae.